GCCGAGGUCGCAUAACCAGGUAGUGCGCGCGCCUGGAGAGCGCGUUCCCUCGUGGAUUGAGAGUUCAAAUCUCUCCCUCGGCG
Molecule: transfer RNA, 83 nt
Filed under: Microcaldota archaeon
Lineage: Archaea; Nanobdellati; Microcaldota
Description: Candidatus Micrarchaeota archaeon (hot springs metagenome) tRNA-Ser
Rfam family: tRNA
About the family: Transfer RNA (tRNA) molecules are approximately 80 nucleotides in length.
Source: RNAcentral